CGGGGAAUUUUGGACAAUGGGGGAAACCCUGAUCCAGCCAUCCCGCGUGUGCGAUGAAGGCCUUCGGGUUGUAAAGCACUUUUGGCAGGAAAGAAACGUCAUGGGUUAAUACCCCGUGAAACUGACGGUACCUGCAGAAUAAGCACCGGCUAACUACGUGCCAGCAGCCGCGGUAAUACGUAGGGUGCAAGCGUUAAUCGGAAUUACUGGGCGUAAAGCGUGCGCAGGCGGUUCGGAAAGAAAGAUGUGAAAUCCCAGAGCUCAACUUUGGAACUGCAUUUUUAACUACCGGGCUAGAGUGUGUCAGAGGGAGGUGGAACUCGGCGUGUAGCAGUGAAAUGCGUAGAUAUGCGGAGGAACACCGAUGGCGAAGGCAGCCUCCUGGGAUAACACUGACGCUCAUGCACGAAAGCGUGGGGAGCAAACAGG
This 429-nucleotide ribosomal RNA is filed under the name Acidobacteriota bacterium. RNAcentral's name for it is "Acidobacteria bacterium partial 16S ribosomal RNA". It matches the Rfam family "Bacterial small subunit ribosomal RNA", at positions 355 to 776 of the family's 1533-position model. The record is from RNAcentral. Lineage: Bacteria; Pseudomonadati; Acidobacteriota.